UUAGAUGUCCAGGGCCGCACGCGCGCCACAAUGAAGGGAUCAGCGUGUGCCUGCCCCUGUCCGUCAGGACUGGGUAACCCGCUGAAACCCCUUCGUGAUAGGGACUGGCGUUUGGAAUUGUCCGCCACGAACGAGGAAUUCCCAGUAGGCGCGAGUCAUAAGCUCGCGUCGAUUACGUCCCUGCCCUUUGUGCACACCGCCCGUCGCUACCUCCGAUUGAAUGAUUUAGUGAGGCCCUCGGACGGGCGCACGGAGCGGCUCUCGCGGGCCGGGCCGUCGUGCCGGAAAGACGGCCGAACUUGAUCAUUUAGAGGAAGUAAAAGUCGUAACAAGGUAGCC
Molecule: ribosomal RNA, 339 nt
Filed under: Tupigea maza
Lineage: Eukaryota; Metazoa; Arthropoda; Arachnida; Araneae; Pholcidae
Description: bacterial SSU rRNA
Rfam family: Eukaryotic small subunit ribosomal RNA
Source: RNAcentral